CCUAUGUUAAGGAAAUACCCUUUAGCCAAAAAAUCAGCCAAACAGCAGCACAUUUGCUUUGCUAUAAACAUGCACAAAAUAAAUGCCUUGAUAAGUACAAGAUCUGUAGCAAGACCCACGCGAUAAACAUGCACAAAAGAAAACUUUGAUAAGUCCAAGAUCUGGAGCAAGACCUAAGCUCUCUAGUCCAAGAUCUGGAGCAAGACCUAAGCUCUCUCAAGGCUGUUUGAUAAGUCCAAGAUCUGGAGCAAGACCUAAGCUCUCUCAAGGCGGUUUGAUAAGUCCAAGAUCUGCAGCAAGACCUAAGCUCCCUCAAGUCCUAAGUACCUAAAUUUAUUGUCACAAACAUUUUCAGGUCAUUUUUUAGACCAUGAAUUUUGUAUGGUUAGUUGUUUUCUUCCGAGUAGACCUGCAUGAGUAAAAACAGAGUAUUUCCUUCUUUGUCCCUUACCACUCCUCCGAAACCAUUUUCUUCCUAAUCCCUUCCCAC
This 490-nucleotide long non-coding RNA is filed under the name Amborella trichopoda. RNAcentral describes it as "long non-coding RNA (ATRI_LNC003883)". Lineage: Eukaryota; Viridiplantae; Streptophyta; Magnoliopsida; Amborellales; Amborellaceae. The record is from RNAcentral.